UACGUAGGGCGCAAGCGUUGUCCGGAAUUAUUGGGCGUAAAGAGCUCGUAGGCGGUUUGUCGCGUCUGCUGUGAAAUCCCGAGGCUCAACCUCGGGCUUGCAGUGGGUACGGGCAGACUAGAGUGCGGUAGGGGAGACUGGAAUUCCUGGUGUAGCGGUGGAAUGCGCAGAUAUCAGGAGGAACACCGAUGGCGAAGGCAGGUCUCUGGGCCGCAACUGACGCUGAGGAGCGAAAGCAUGGGGAGCGAACCGG
This 253-nucleotide ribosomal RNA is filed under the name uncultured bacterium. RNAcentral's name for it is "partial 16S ribosomal RNA". It matches the Rfam family "Bacterial small subunit ribosomal RNA", at positions 524 to 776 of the family's 1533-position model. The record is from RNAcentral.